AUACUUACCUGGCAGGGAAGAUAACCGUGAUCACGAAGGUGGUUUCCCGGGCGAGGCUUUAUCCAUUGCACUCCAGAUGUGCUGAUCCCUGCGAUUUCUCCAAAUGUGGAAAACUUUGUACUGCAUAAUUUGUGGUGUGGGGGACUGUGUUCGAGCUCUCCCCUG
This 165-nucleotide small nuclear RNA is filed under the name Aotus nancymaae (Ma's night monkey). RNAcentral's name for it is "U1 spliceosomal RNA (ENSANAG00000019698.1)". It matches the Rfam family "U1 spliceosomal RNA". From Rfam's summary of the family: U1 is a small nuclear RNA (snRNA) component of the spliceosome (involved in pre-mRNA splicing). Its 5' end forms complementary base pairs with the 5' splice junction, thus defining the 5' donor site of an intron. There are significant differences in sequence and secondary structure between metazoan and yeast U1 snRNAs, the latter being much longer (568 nucleotides as compared to 164 nucleotides in human). Lineage: Eukaryota; Metazoa; Chordata; Mammalia; Primates; Aotidae. The record is from Rfam by way of RNAcentral.